AAGUCGUAACAAGGUUUCCGUAGGUGAACCUGCGGAAGGAUCAUUAACACGUAUCCACGUACCCACCCAACGCGCACCUGUUUUCGCUCUCCCUGCUCCUUCUGCUGGUGGAUGGACCGGCGGCUGCAUGGGGCUCUCCCUGCGAGAGUCGCCUCCGGUCUGAUUCGCGCGCUUCGCGGCGCGCGGACGCAGUAGAGGAGUAGGCCAUUUUCUUUGCUCUCUGGCUCCAGCAGCCGGAGGGUGAGGAGUCUCUACACGAAUAGCACUCCCUUUUGCUAGUUGACUUAAUUCCUGCAGCUCUGCUCGCAGCGCUGCUCGUUGUAUUCCAACGAUCGAAACAACUCUUAGCAAUGGAUAUCUUGGUUCUCGC
RNAcentral lists this unclassified non-coding RNA (370 nucleotides) under fungal sp. RNAcentral describes it as "partial internal transcribed spacer region". The stretch from base 1 to 46 matches the Rfam family "Eukaryotic small subunit ribosomal RNA", at positions 1786 to 1831 of the family's 1831-position model. The record is from RNAcentral. Lineage: Eukaryota; Fungi.